RNAcentral lists this ribosomal RNA (158 nucleotides) under Sphaerulina quercicola. RNAcentral describes it as "5.8S ribosomal RNA". It matches the Rfam family "5.8S ribosomal RNA". From Rfam's summary of the family: 5.8S ribosomal RNA (5.8S rRNA) is a component of the large subunit of the eukaryotic ribosome. It is transcribed by RNA polymerase I as part of the 45S precursor that also contains 18S and 28S rRNA. Lineage: Eukaryota; Fungi; Ascomycota; Dothideomycetes; Mycosphaerellales; Mycosphaerellaceae. The record is from RNAcentral.
AAACUUUCAACAACGGAUCUCUUGGUUCUGGCAUCGAUGAAGAACGCAGCGAAAUGCGAUAAGUAAUGUGAAUUGCAGAAUUCAGUGAAUCAUCGAAUCUUUGAACGCACAUUGCGCCCUCUGGUAUUCCGGAGGGCAUGCCUGUUCGAGCGUCAAAU